GACGAACGCUGGCGGCGUGCUUAACACACGCAAGUCGAACGGUAAGGCCCUUCGGGGUACACGAGUGGCGAACGGGUGAGUAACACGUGGGUGAUCUGCCCUGCACUUCGGGAUAAGCCUGGGAAACUGGGUCUAAUACCGGAUAGGACCACUGCCUGCAUGGGUGGUGGUGGAAAGCUUUUGCGGUGUGGGAUGGGCCCGCGGCCUAUCAGCUUGUUGGUGGGGUGAUGGCCUACCAAGGCGACGACGGGUAGCCGGCCUGGGAGGGUGACCGGCCACACUGGGACUGAGGUACGGCCCAGACUCCGACGGGAGGCAGCAGUGGGGAAUAUUGCACAAUGGGCGCAAGCCUGAUGCAGCGACGCCGCGUGAGGGAUGACGGCCUUCGGGUUGUAAACCUCUUUCAGCACCGACGAAGCGCAAGUGACGGUAGGUGCAGAAGAAGGACCGGCCAACUACGUGCCAGCCGCCGCCGUAA
RNAcentral lists this ribosomal RNA (478 nucleotides) under uncultured bacterium. RNAcentral describes it as "partial 16S ribosomal RNA". It matches the Rfam family "Bacterial small subunit ribosomal RNA", at positions 28 to 523 of the family's 1533-position model. The record is from RNAcentral.